GGACCCGCACAACCGGUGGAGCGUGUGGUUUAAUUCGAGACAAAGCGAAAAACCUUACCAGGGUUUGACAUAGUACCGUUUUAUUCUUUUAGAAAUAAGAGAAGAUCCGCAAGGAUGGUAUUACAGGUGUUGCAUGGCUGUCGUCAGCUCGUGCCGUGAGGUGUUCCCUUAAGUGGGGAAACGAGCGCAACCCCCGUCCAAUGUUACAUAUUCAUUGGAAACGGUCUCAGUUUUUCUGAGAAGGAAGGAGGGGAAGACGUCAAGUCCGCACGGCCCUUAUACCCUGGGUUACACACACCCUACAAUGGCGAAAAACAACGUGUCGCAAGCCGGCAACGGCAAGCUAAUCACUCAAAUUUCGCCUCAGUUCAGAUUGGGGUCUGCAACCCGACCCCAUGAAGUCGGAAUCGGUAGUAAUCGCGGAUCAGAAGGCCGCGGUGAAUACGUUCUCGGGUCUU
This 458-nucleotide ribosomal RNA is filed under the name uncultured bacterium. RNAcentral's name for it is "bacterial SSU rRNA". It matches the Rfam family "Bacterial small subunit ribosomal RNA", at positions 917 to 1382 of the family's 1533-position model. The record is from RNAcentral.